AUUUUUUUUUUUUUAUUUUUUAGUAUUGCAUACUGGUAGAAUAAUAUGUCAUUUUUAUGAAUUAUAGAAAUAAAUUGUUUAAAAUUGGAUUUUUUUUGUUUUUACGAAAUUAGGUAUAUCCAGUUUGGUUAUUGAUAAGACGUAUUUUUAUUUCUGUUUUUUAUUUUUUAUUGUUUAAGUUAUAUCUCUAUUAGGUUUGGUUUUAAUUUUUUUAUUUUAUUAAUGUUUUUUUGUUUUUUAUAUUUUUUGUUGUUUUUUUUUUUUGUUAUGGUUAAUUUUGUAAUCAUUUUAUAAUUUUUACUUUAGUAAAAUUUGUUUUUGUGGAUGUUUUUGGUUUUGAAUUUUGUUUUUGAACUAAAUUUGUUGUUAAAUGUUUAUUAAAAACUUAGGUUUUUUUUUAAAGUUGUCUUCUGCUCAAUGAGUAUUUAAAUGGCAGCCUUAGCGUGAUGGCAUAAAAGUAGCGUAAGUGAUUUGUUUUUUUAAUGUUUUCAAGUAUGAAUGAAGUUUUUAGCAAUUUUUUUGUUGUCUUUUUUUUUGAAUUAUUUUUUUUAUUAAAAAUUAUGGAUUUUAGUAUUACAAAGAUAAGUCUUCGGAAAUUUUUUUUUAGGAUUAGCUAUUUUUUUUGUUUUCUAAAUUUUUCUUGGGGAUGGAUUUUAGAAAAUUUUUAUACUAUUAAUAUUUUUAAAAAUUACUUCGGAGUUAACAGGGUUGUGGACAUAUAAAUAGUUUUUAUAUUAUUAUGCUGCGCUACAUCGAUGUUGUAUAUUUUUUAGUGAGGGGGAGAGAAUUUUUUUAGUUUGAGACUGUUCUUCUUGUAUAAAAAUUAAACUUGAUAUUAGUUUAGUUCGUCGUGAGACAGAGCGGUUUAUCUUGUAUAUUUUUUUUUUUAUUGGUGUUAGUACGAAAGGAAAGUUAUGAAGGCUAAUAUUUAUGGCUUUUGUAUUUUUAUGGAUUUAUU
Molecule: ribosomal RNA, 958 nt
Filed under: Mansonella perstans
Lineage: Eukaryota; Metazoa; Nematoda; Chromadorea; Rhabditida; Onchocercidae
Description: 16S ribosomal RNA
Source: RNAcentral